UACAGCCAUAUCACAUUGAAACACGGGUCCACGUACAAUCACUGAAGUUAAGCAAAAACAUGCCAGGUCAGUACCUAGAUGGGUGACUAUAUGGGAAUACUAGGUGCUGUAAG
This is a non-coding RNA of Acanthosepion pharaonis, 113 nucleotides long. The record is from the annotation of a GenBank genome assembly. Lineage: Eukaryota; Metazoa; Mollusca; Cephalopoda; Sepiida; Sepiidae.